This 1159-nucleotide long non-coding RNA is filed under the name Parus major (Great Tit). Its description in RNAcentral is "lncRNA (ENSPMJG00000019332.1)". Lineage: Eukaryota; Metazoa; Chordata; Aves; Passeriformes; Paridae. The record is from RNAcentral.
GAAACAUUCUGAAGGAAAGAAAAUAGAGAUGGGACCUCAUUCCUUUAUUUCAGUAUAUCAGGAUUCAGCUAUCAAAAUAAAGAAAUGCCAUUCUCCAGAAAUGAGCAGAGAAAGAAUUUGUAGACUUCUUAUCCUACACUCUUUAUCUUCAACCUUCCCACAAACAGUACCUUCCUUUGCUUCCCACCUUUGCUUAGAAAGGAAUAGUAAUAUUUGCCAUGGCAAUAAUAAGAUUCUGAUAUUUUUUAGGAUUCCUCCUCACCAUCUGGUAGCCGCCAGAGUGAACGGGUAAGCAAUCCUUCCUUUAUGGUAUUGCCAGAUGCCAGCCCCAGUGCUUGGCAACAGCAGCACCUAAUUAAAUCUCCUGUGGAAACCCUGAGGCAGUUCCAGUGUGAGACAGAAAACCCUCAAGAACAGCGGGAAUGAGGAUAUGGAUAAAGAGUUAAAGUAUUGCUAGAAACCUCAGCUGAUGCUGAGGUGUGCUCUUGAAUUUCAAACUCACAUCACAAAUGUGAUAGCACCAUUUACUUGUUCAGGACCUUGCUCUUUUUAAAUCAUUGCUUGACUGCAAAGAGCUUCAAUACCAUGAUUUGUCUAGCACUUAGAAUAAGUGCAACCCUUUGCUUUGUUGUGCUGUAAGACUUAUUUAUGAAGGCUUCCAUUUUCCUAUCAUUUUUACAUGGCACCUGCUGUGUUUAUUCUAAUGACACAGACUGAGAAAUUAUUUUGUUAGAGAUAGAAUUCUUUCAGCUGCUGUAUCCUAGAGAAUAUCUACCACCAAAAGAGCAAUUAUCAAUAGUCAUGAAAGGGUGUGUGCUGUUUUAUACAGAAAGACAGCAGAUUUUUUUUGUUUUUCUUGAACGGUCCAUGACAGAAAAUUAAGGAAUGUGGAGAAGGAAAGAGGAGUGUUUUUCUUCCACUCUGAUCUUUCCAGUUUUUGGGGUUUGGUUUUUUCAUUUAAUUUCAAUACAUUUUUCCAGGAUUUUUAUUCCCCAGGAGGCAGCCAGUCAGGUGGACAUGGGUCAUCUUCUCAAAGUGGUAGCUACUCCAGUGGACAGGACACAGCCUCAUCUGGAAGCAGCCAGUAUGGGGGGCAGGUGGGAAAUUUUUCUUCUUUGUUGUUAUUGUGAUGGUUUUUCCCUCAGUGUAUAUAUUUCAA